Long non-coding RNA from Plutella xylostella (diamondback moth), 1127 nucleotides. RefSeq lists it as uncharacterized. The record is from RefSeq and is a predicted model, not a curated record. Lineage: Eukaryota; Metazoa; Arthropoda; Insecta; Lepidoptera; Plutellidae.
GUCAAGACUAUGUAAAUAUCUAUCUAACUACUUACUUAACUAUACCUUCCACUUCAAUAUCAUUUACAGGCAAAAUAACUAAGUAUUUGUUUUUCAAUCACGUCCGUAUACAGUUGUGAGUGAAUAUUGUGAGCAGAAAAGUACUUACCUAAUAAACUAACGCUAUUGUGAGUGAGUGCUCUUACGUGAUUCAAAGACAAAUAAAUAUACCUACUUAAAGUUAUGGACUUAUGGUUGUGCUAGUGUCGACAAAUUAUAUUUAAUUAUGUAGAUAUGAUUCAAAUCCUACCUAAACUCCAUACGAUGAGCAUGCGAAUGUAACACCUACCUAACACAAGUUUUAUAAAUUAGUUAAUAAUCAAGUUUCGAGUCAUAGUUAUAAAAACUUAACGUGAAGUCGCCUCAAGGUAGCUAAAGUUCAUUCACACUACAUGCUUAAGUAUAGUAUCUUUGUCCUCAAGUACCUAAAAACGAUAACUACCUGAGCAUUUUUUAUAGAAGCUAAAUUUAGGUAGAUAUAUCAGGAAACAUACUAGUUAUUAUUAGUCAGUGCGGUCACAGUCAUACUUAGCGAAUGGGUACCAGGUUAACAGCAGUGCGCGGUGGUAUCAAAUAAUUGAGAAAUGUUCAUAAUAGCAGUUUUAGUUUUAUUGUCACUCCUGGUGAUACUGGCAGCCUGUGAAGUGAUAAGGAACUAUUGUGUAGUUGGAAACAGGGAUGGGACCGGAAAGACGUUGAAGAAAUGGUCAGCCCCAAUAGAAGUGAUCAAGAACAAAUUGAGCGGACGCAAGAUCCUUCACGAAGAAAAUGCAAUAAAAAACGAACAGCCUCCAAAAGUGUCUACUGUAGUGUCAAUAUCUAGUGCAGCUACUGACGAAAUAACUUAAUAAGCAAGUGGCAGUGAUGGUGGUGUCUUCGCUUUAAUCUUUCUGAACUAAAGGAGUAAAUGAUAUAAGUCAAUGAGUAAAUGAUAAAUAACUACUGGAUCAGUGGCCAAAGGUCGAUUAAUGCUGUUGAUCCGUCCAGGAUCUUUUUGUUUAAUCUAAAAUAUAAUAAUAUAUAGUUAGGUAAGGUACAUAAAUGUAAUAUAUUGUGCUGUUUUACCAAUGAAUACAAGUAAAAAAAGU